RNAcentral lists this ribosomal RNA (208 nucleotides) under uncultured bacterium. RNAcentral's name for it is "partial 16S ribosomal RNA". It matches the Rfam family "Bacterial small subunit ribosomal RNA", at positions 524 to 727 of the family's 1533-position model. The record is from RNAcentral.
UACGGAGGGGGCUAGCGUUGUUCGGAAUUACUGGGCGUAAAGCGCACGUAGGCGGACUGUUAAGUCGGGGGUGAAAUCCUGGGGCUCAACCUCAGAAUUGCCUCCGAUACUGGCAGUCUCGAGUGCGGGGAGAGGUGAGUGGAAUUCCCAGUGUAGAGGUGAAAAUUUCGUAGAUAUUGGGGAAGAACACCAGUGGCGAAGGCAGCUC